UGCUAAGUGGACUUCAGGAUCCAUCCAUGUUGCUGCAAAUGUCUAUGUCUGUAUUUAAGGCUAAAGUGAAGCAACACCCAGGGUCCCAAGAAUAAGAACAGGAUGCAAUGACAGCUGGCACCACUGAAAGCUGUCACAUACCAACCUUCCCUCCAACUGCAAACAAUACCAACCACCUCACCUGCAGGGCCCUCAUUUCCUUCCAAAGAGAAAAAUACAGGAGACACAAGAUCACCACUCUCUCAAGAAAGCUCACACCUUUUGGAGAAAUAAUGGAUCCACUAUGGCUACAAAUGUGCCACAGGCCAGAAUUCUAGACAAGAUAUUGCAUGCUCCCACUAUGAUUUGAUGAGAACAGUCAUCCCUGUGGUCUUCUACCUGAAAGCCCAGAACCUUAUCUUACAUCAAAUAGACCUUGAAUGAGGCUCACUGACAAACUCUGACAGCCCUGAGCAGGUUCAGAACUGCGACAUGUAAGGUAGGCCUGGUUGGACCAGACCUAAGAAGGAUGCCUGGGAGAUAAAGCCUUGCAUCAGGCAAUAAACCAAUGCUGCUUCCAUGGUUUGGACAAAAGUACUGUGGAAACCUGAGAUGCUGGCAUCAGCAGGAACUGAGCAAGGAGUACAGGAGCCCUCUGCACCAUCUCUGCAACUUCUCUGUAAACCUAGAAUCACUUAAAAGUAAAAAAAAAUAUAUUAAAAAAUAAUAAUGAAAAUAAAGUGAAUCUCUUGUAAGUAGUA
This is a long non-coding RNA of Herpailurus yagouaroundi (jaguarundi), 740 nucleotides long. RefSeq lists it as uncharacterized. The transcript is spliced from 2 exons. The record is from RefSeq and is a predicted model, not a curated record. Lineage: Eukaryota; Metazoa; Chordata; Mammalia; Carnivora; Felidae.